RNAcentral lists this ribosomal RNA (324 nucleotides) under uncultured bacterium. Its description in RNAcentral is "bacterial SSU rRNA". It matches the Rfam family "Bacterial small subunit ribosomal RNA", at positions 28 to 334 of the family's 1533-position model. The record is from RNAcentral.
GAUGAACGCUGGCGGCGUGCCUAACACAUGCAAGUCGAGCGAAGCACACAUGCGGAAGCCUCCGGGCCAAAGGAUGUGUGACUGAGCGGCGGACGGGUGAGUAACGCGUGGGUAACCUGCCCUAUACAGGGGGAUAACAGCUAGAAAUGGCUGCUAAUACCGCAUGAGCGCACAGCUCCGCAUGGAGCGGUGUGAAAAACUCCGGUGGUAUAGGAUGGACCCGCGGCCGAGUAGCUAGUUGGUGGGGUAAAGGCCCACCAAGGCGACGAUCGGUAGCCGACCUGAGAGGGUGACCGGCCACAUUGGGACUGAGACACGGCCCAA